UUUAGGGAUUUACCCUAAUUUGAUUGGAAUUGAUUGAGAUUGAAUUGGCCAAGUGUGUUAUUUAGCAUUUAUAAUGCUUUGUUGAGUUGAUUUAAUUAAUUGAUUGAGAAAUCGUUGGGUAUUGGUUAUCACCUGAAAGGAAGCACGUGGGCUCGGUGAAUUGGAAUAUCACCUGGAAAAUGCACGUGAGUUUAGUGGUUGAUUAUAUUGAAUUGUUUAUGUUGGCUCUGUGAUCAGUGUAUCACCUUGGCGAAAAAGACUCCCGAGAGCAUAUUGAAUUGUUUAUGUUGGCUCUGUGAUCAGUGUAUCACCUUGGCGAAAAAGACGCCCGAGAGCAUAUUGAAUUGUUUAUGUUGGCUCUGUGAUCAGUGUAUCACCUUGGCGAAAAAAGACGCCCGAGAGCAUAUUGAAUUGUUUACGUUGGCUCUGUGAUCAGUGUAUCACCUUGGCGAAAAAGACGCCCGAGAGCAUAGUAAAGUGUUCACUGUACGUCACCUUGGC
Molecule: long non-coding RNA, 501 nt
Filed under: Eucalyptus grandis
Lineage: Eukaryota; Viridiplantae; Streptophyta; Magnoliopsida; Myrtales; Myrtaceae
Description: long non-coding RNA (EGRA_LNC002829)
Source: RNAcentral